AUGAACCUUUGAGGGUUGAGCUGGCGUUUAUUCGCAUGUGCUUGCCCUCUCAUCCUUAUACACCUGUGCACUUUUGAAGGGAGACAUUAGUAGACAUUCACUUGUCGAAGGUAUCUCCCUUUACACCACAUACUCUAAUGAUUACUUUGAAUGUUUAAACGCUUAACAGCAUUUAAUUA
RNAcentral lists this unclassified non-coding RNA (179 nucleotides) under soil metagenome. Its description in RNAcentral is "partial internal transcribed spacer 1". The record is from RNAcentral.